RNAcentral lists this ribosomal RNA (766 nucleotides) under Staphylococcus sp. H06_1260_08. Its description in RNAcentral is "bacterial SSU rRNA". It matches the Rfam family "Bacterial small subunit ribosomal RNA", at positions 54 to 803 of the family's 1533-position model. The record is from RNAcentral. Lineage: Bacteria; Bacillati; Bacillota; Bacilli; Caryophanales; Staphylococcaceae.
CAUGCAGUCGAGCGAACAGACGAGGAGCUUGCUCCUCUGACGUUAGCGGCGGACGGGUGAGUAACACGUGGAUAACCUACCUAUAAGACUGGGAUAACUUCGGGAAACCGGAGCUAAUACCGGAUAAUAUAUUGAACCGCAUGGUUCAAUAGUGAAAGACGGUUUUGCUGUCACUUAUAGAUGGAUCCGCGCCGCAUUAGCUAGUUGGUAAGGUAACGGCUUACCAAGGCAACGAUGCGUAGCCGACCUGAGAGGGUGAUCGGCCACACUGGAACUGAGACACGGUCCAGACUCCUACGGGAGGCAGCAGUAGGGAAUCUUCCGCAAUGGGCGAAAGCCUGACGGAGCAACGCCGCGUGAGUGAUGAAGGUCUUCGGAUCGUAAAACUCUGUUAUUAGGGAAGAACAAAUGUGUAAGUAACUAUGCACGUCUUGACGGUACCUAAUCAGAAAGCCACGGCUAACUACGUGCCAGCAGCCGCGGUAAUACGUAGGUGGCAAGCGUUAUCCGGAAUUAUUGGGCGUAAAGCGCGCGUAGGCGGUUUUUUAAGUCUGAUGUGAAAGCCCACGGCUCAACCGUGGAGGGUCAUUGGAAACUGGAAAACUUGAGUGCAGAAGAGGAAAGUGGAAUUCCAUGUGUAGCGGUGAAAUGCGCAGAGAUAUGGAGGAACACCAGUGGCGAAGGCGACUUUCUGGUCUGUAACUGACGCUGAUGUGCGAAAGCGUGGGGAUCAAACAGGAUUAGAUACCCUGGUAGUCCACGCCGU